UACAGAGGGUGCAAGCGUUAAUCGGAAUUACUGGGCGUAAAGCGUGCGUAGACGGUUAUGUAAGUCAGAUGUGAAAGCCCCGGGCUCAACCUGGGAAUUGCAUUUGAGACUGCAUAGCUAGGAUGCGGAAGAGGGCAGUGGAAUUUCCGGUGUAGCGGUGAAAUGCGUAGAUAUCGGAAGGAACAUCAGUGGCGAAAGCGACUGCCUGGUCCAGCAUCGACGUUCAGGCACGAAAGCGUGGGGAGCAAACAGG
RNAcentral lists this ribosomal RNA (253 nucleotides) under uncultured Gammaproteobacteria bacterium. Its description in RNAcentral is "partial 16S ribosomal RNA". It matches the Rfam family "Bacterial small subunit ribosomal RNA", at positions 524 to 776 of the family's 1533-position model. The record is from RNAcentral. Lineage: Bacteria; Pseudomonadati; Pseudomonadota; Gammaproteobacteria.